This 944-nucleotide long non-coding RNA is filed under the name Ornithorhynchus anatinus (platypus). RNAcentral's name for it is "lncRNA (ENSOANG00000037150.1)". Lineage: Eukaryota; Metazoa; Chordata; Mammalia; Monotremata; Ornithorhynchidae. The record is from RNAcentral.
GACACAAUGACGUCAAAUGAAUCGAGAGUGCCUAAAGGGAAAGCUUGUACUUCAGAGCCUAGGCAUCCUCUUCCCAGGUCACUGUUUCCAAGCCACAGAACGUGGCCGCCCUGAAAAUAGAGAUACCAGGCCUCACUGCUUCCUGCAAGUCAGACAGCUUGGCCAGGACUGGAAACACCUCAGUGACAUCACCUUUUUGGGGAGGCCUGCCUCUGGGCAGCUGCCUGAAGGAUGAAAAGGAGGGGUGGGGAAAGGAGAACGAAAAAGAGGUAGAAAGAUAAAACUGGAUAUUUCCUCCUUAGAAUGGAAAAGUAUGAAACAGAUCAGAGAAGAUUAAGCCCCCAAAGGGGGGAAAAAAGAAAGAAAGUAGGAAGAUCAAGGACGUUAUUGACAGAGUUUUGGCAGAUAAAGGAAUAUCUCUCUCUGUAAUAAAGGAUCCCUUAACUUGACAGUUGGUUAGCAUGCCUCAAACUGGAAUGGGAGGUGUCAUUCUAAGCAAAUCGCUGAUUAAGCAUAGGAACCGAGGCCACAGCAUCAAUUGAUCACUCAAUCAAUAGUGUUGUUUGAGUGCUUACUGUGUAAAGAGCCAAAGAAAGAUGCAAAGACCUGAUCCACUGGAGAAGAACAAAGUCUGAAGUGAUGAAUAGAACAUUUCCUCCUGAAAUCCACUGGUUCUUCCAAAUUGGGGUGAUUAGUAACUUCCACUGAAGAGAUCAAUACUUCCAUGUUACUCACAAGUAAAAAAAAAAGGUUAGUGCUACUGGCAUUGCAUUAGACAAAAUUCUAUUUAUUGCUAUUGUUCUUGUCUGUCUGUCUCCCCCAGUUAGACUGUAAGCUCGUCAAAGGGCAGGGACUGUCUCUAUCUGUUACCGAUUUGUACAUUCCAAGCGUUUAGUACAGUGCUCUGCACAUAGUAAGCACUCAAUAAAUACUAUUGAAUGAAU